AAUAGAUACCCUGGUAGUCCACGCCGUAAACGAUGUCGACUUGGAGGUUGUUCCCUUGAGGAGUGGCUUCCGGAGCUAACGCGUUAAGUCGACCGCCUGGGGAGUACGGCCGCAAGGUUAAAACUCAAAUGAAUUGACGGGGGCCCGCACAAGCGGUGGAGCAUGUGGUUUAAUUCGAUGCAACGCGAAGAACCUUACCUACCCUUGACAUCCAGAGAACUUAGCAGAGAUGCUUUGGUGCCUUCGGGAACUCUGAGACAGGUGCUGCAUGGCUGUCGUCAGCUCGUGUUGUGAAAUGUUGGGUUAAGUCCCGCAACGAGCGCAACCCUUAUCCUUUGUUGCCAGCGGCUAGGCCGGGAACUCAAAGGAGACUGCCAGUGAUAAACUGGAGGAAGGUGGGGAUGACGUCAAGUCAUCAUGGCCCUUACGAGUAGGGCUACACACGUGCUACAAUGGCGCAUACAAAAGAGAAACGACCUCGCGAGAGCAAGCGGACCUCAUAAAGUGCGUCGUAGUCCGGAUUGGAGUCUGCAAC
RNAcentral lists this ribosomal RNA (535 nucleotides) under uncultured bacterium. RNAcentral describes it as "bacterial SSU rRNA". It matches the Rfam family "Bacterial small subunit ribosomal RNA", at positions 777 to 1311 of the family's 1533-position model. The record is from RNAcentral.